This 431-nucleotide ribosomal RNA is filed under the name uncultured bacterium. RNAcentral's name for it is "bacterial SSU rRNA". It matches the Rfam family "Bacterial small subunit ribosomal RNA", at positions 8 to 443 of the family's 1533-position model. The record is from RNAcentral.
AGAGUUUGAUCCUGGCUCAGGACGAACGCUGGCGGCGUGCUUAACACAUGCAAGUCGAACGGUAAGGCCCUUCGGGGUACACGAGUGGCGAACGGGUGAGUAACACGUGGGUGAUCUGCCCUGCACUUCGGGAUAAGCUUGGGAAACUGGGUCUAAUACCGGAUAUGACUACGAAUCGCAUGGUUUGUGGUGGAAAGCUUUUGCGGUGUGGGAUGGGCCCGCGGCCUAUCAGCUUGUUGGUGGGGUGAUGGCCUACCAAGGCGACGACGGGUAGCCGGCCUGAGAGGGUGACCGGCCACACUGGGACUGAGAUACGGCCCAGACUCCUACGGGAGGCAGCUGUGGGGAAUAUUGCACAAUGGGCGCAAGCCUGAUGCAGCGACGCCGCGUGAGGGAUGACGGCCUUCGGGUUGUAAACCUUCUUCAGUAGG